RNAcentral lists this ribosomal RNA (513 nucleotides) under uncultured bacterium. RNAcentral's name for it is "partial 16S ribosomal RNA". It matches the Rfam family "Bacterial small subunit ribosomal RNA", at positions 28 to 523 of the family's 1533-position model. The record is from RNAcentral.
GACGAACGCUGGCGGCGUGCCUAAUACAUGCAAGUAGAACGCUGAAGGAAGGAGCUUGCUCUUUCCGGAUGAGUUGCGAACGGGUGAGUAACGCGUAGGUAACCUGCCUGGUAGCGGGGGAUAACUAUUGGAAACGAUAGCUAAUACCGCAUAACAGUAGAUAUCGCAUGAUAGCUGCUUGAAAGGUGCAAAUGCACCACUACCAGAUGGACCUGUGUUGUAUUAGCUAGUUGGUGAGGUAACGGCUCACCAAGGCAACGAUACAUAGCCGACCUGAGAGGGUGAUCGGCCACACUGGGACUGAGACACGGCCCAGACUCCUACGGGAGGCAGCAGUAGGGAAUCUUCGGCAAUGGACGGAAGUCUGACCGAGCAACGCCGCGUGAGUGAAGAAGGUUUUCGGAUCGUAAAGCUCUGUUGUAAGAGAAGAACGAGUGUGAGAGUGGAAAGUUCACACUGUGACAGUAUCUUACCAGAAAGGGACGGCUAUCUACGUGCCAGCCGCCGCCGUAA